This 1585-nucleotide long non-coding RNA is filed under the name Vulpes vulpes (red fox). RNAcentral describes it as "lncRNA (ENSVVUG00000001448.1)". The record is from RNAcentral. Lineage: Eukaryota; Metazoa; Chordata; Mammalia; Carnivora; Canidae.
CCCCGCCGCCGCGCCGCUCCCCCGGGCCGGGAAAGUGCGAGCUCCGCGCUCCAGCGCCCGCCGGCAGCGCCGCCCGCCCGCUCGCUCGUCCCACUCCAAACUUUUUUUUUUUAUUUGUCUUUUAAUUGGUUGUUAUUCCUCCGAGUGAAUGAUCUCUCUCUUCUUUCCUAAAAGCAAACACAAACUCCUUUGGUUCGGAAGAGGUCUCGGCGGUGCUUUUUGGUUUCUCUGGAGAUUUUUUCACUUCACAGCAACGAUCUUUUAAAAGGCACCUUUUAGCUUCUUUUACCACAUCUCAUUUCCUUAUUUUUCUUCCUUCCUGUUUUCUUGUCUUUUUUUUUUUUUAACCCCAAAUUGAAGGGGAUUAUAAAAAUAAAAGAGUGAAACGCUUGCGGCUUUUUUUUUUUUUUUGAUUCUCUCUCCUUUCAAACUCUGCGAACACCACCUCAAAAUAAUAUACAAGUGUGUGAGAGAGGGGGAAGAAAGCAGCCAACAGCCCAAACACCCGCUCAGAACAGCUCUAACAACACGCUCUGUGUAGGUGACUUCUUUGACCAAAUUUAGCAGCAGCUAAUCAUUAACAUUCUGAUACAUAUUCACAACCGUCCGUGGAGGGGCCGCGGAGCAUCCCGGGAGAUGUAGUCCACCCCAAGCGACCGCGGUCCAGGAUUCGGCCAGAUUGACUACAAUCACCGGCCCGCCACGCGACCGCUCUGGGGCGCUCUCCAAGCGCCCCGCCCACCCCCGCCGCGGGAGGCGUCUCCGGCAACCAAUCAGAGGUGGCUGCACAUUAAUCGCCGUUCUGUGUUACUGCCCAUCAUUUCACUGCUGACAAAUGGCGAGCCAGGGGGGCGGGGCCUGCCGGGCUGGAGCCCACGUGGGGGCCGGGCGUCGUCCGUGGUUCGGACCAAUGAACGGAACGGGAUGGGGUUAGCGGAGGCGGAGCGGAGAUGGCCCGCCCAAGGCGGAGCUUCGCCUUGGCUGACGUUCCUUAGCGCGAGCGUUCGAACCGGGGAAACAUUUGUUCAGCUGUCAAUCAAAGUUGGAGAACUCUGUGUGGACAGUUUUCUGAUCCUCCUCGGUCCCAUGUGCCCAGUCCAAAAUGAGACGUGCGAUCUACAUGACAAAGAGAAAGAUCUCCGAAAGAUGCAGAAGGAAGCAACCCCUCUCCCAGAACAACACAGAAACUUGGGGCCUGAACUCACCACCCAGAGGUCAAGAGUCACAUGUUCUCCCAGCUGAGCCAGCCGCGCACCCCUGUGCUUCUCUGUUUGCACUUUUCACAAAUUGCUAAGCCAAGCUGUGAAGUCAACCUUGGGACUUGUCUUAUCCCUACCACACAGUGGGGAGUUCCAGAAUUUUUAUGUGAGUGGGGCUCAGCAACAGCAGUCCUAGUGGAAGCUAGGCCUGGGGUUUCAAUCUUAAUGUGAUAUAUGCAAAGCAAGCACAUUAUUUUUUCUUAUAUGUUAUAAAUUAUGUAUUCUUCCACCAGGUAUUUAUUGAAAAAAAAUGUUUUGACCUAACAUGUGCCAAGAUAAGGGAAUUUAGCAAUAAAUUACUGUUUUUGAUUUAUUAUCUCUGAGCU